Molecule: ribosomal RNA, 253 nt
Filed under: uncultured prokaryote
Description: partial 16S ribosomal RNA
Rfam family: Bacterial small subunit ribosomal RNA
Source: RNAcentral
UACGGAGGGUGCAAGCGUUGUCCGGAUUUAUUGGGUUUAAAGGGUGCGUAGGCGGCUGAUUAAGUCUGGGGUGAAAGCCCGUUGCUCAACAACGGAACUGCCCUGGAAACUAGUUAGCUUGAGUACAGACGAGGGUGGCGGAAUGGAUGCUGUAGCGGUGAAAUGCAUAGAUAGCAUCCAGAACCCCGAUUGCGAAGGCAGCUGCCUAGACUGUAACUGACGCUGAGGCACGAAAGCGUGGGGAGCGAACAGG